UACGUAGGCGGUCCAAUAAGUCAGUGGUGAAAUCCUGCAGCUUAACUGUAGAACUGCCAUUGAUACUGUCGGACUUGAAUACAGAUGAGGUAGGCGGAAUGUGUUGUGUAGCGGUGAAAUGCUUAGAUAUAACACAGAACACCAAUUGCGAAGGCAGCUUACUAGACUGUUAUUGACGCUGAGGUACGAAAGCGUGGGGAGCGAACAGGAUUAGAUACCCUGGUAGUCC
This 229-nucleotide ribosomal RNA is filed under the name uncultured bacterium. RNAcentral's name for it is "partial 16S ribosomal RNA". It matches the Rfam family "Bacterial small subunit ribosomal RNA", at positions 568 to 796 of the family's 1533-position model. The record is from RNAcentral.